This is a long non-coding RNA of Corvus moneduloides (New Caledonian crow), 1344 nucleotides long. The record is from Ensembl. NCBI's taxonomy places the organism in Eukaryota, Metazoa, Chordata, Aves, Passeriformes, Corvidae.
GAGGCGCCAUUUGCUUCUUGUUACUCAUCUUUGCAAAUGUCUCUUGUCUUCCCAGGCUCUGCCCUGAUGUGUUAGCAUUAGCUGCCUGUGGAUUUCUGAGCCGCGCUGAAACGGGGACUCAGAGCGGCCAACCUAAGUUGGUCAAGCAGAGAUGGCAGUGUGAAGCAAAGGAGGAAGACAAAAAUAAGAUCAAGUGAAGUGUAUGAUACAAGAUCUUCGUGUGCACAUAAACAGUAUCAGGCUUGAGCAUAAUCUUAUAAUACCAAUAAAUGAAAAAUAUGCAUUGAGGGAAUCAAUAUACUGAUGGUAUGACUUUUUGGAACAAGGUUCAUCUUGUGAUAGCAAAUUAAUUUAUGUUUUACUUAACAUAAAAUUUUCUUUAGCCUUAACUCAGAAGUAAAUUGCUCUUUUAAGACUUAGGAUUUUGUUUUUAAAUAAUUAACAGAGAAAAAUGAACAUCAACACUUUUAAAUUAAUUUGACAACAAUAGCCUUUUGAGGUAUAAAUACAACCAUUUGUGCCAUUCAAGCAAUAAAAUUAACAAUAAGGGUACAGUGUGAAAUAGGUUUUAGUAUAUCUGUCUCAACCGAGGGACAUGGCAUCCUCACUGCAGCCGGGAAGCACUCACACUUCCAAAGACUGACUAAAUCCCAGGAAUAUUCAGGUUUCCUCAAAAGCCUCUCUUACAGAGCAAUAAUUUGAAUUACAAGUAGCUAUUAAAAAAUAGCAAAUUAAAUGUGGAGAAUCCUCCACUUAUGCAGGAGGGGAAGAGAUUUUUAAAGUUUCCUUUCCUAAAACAGAUUUUGUUUUUUAUUUUCCUUUCCCUUGUCCCCCCAUAGAGUUCCUAUGGAAUAUAUGCAUCACAGCUACUUAAAAGUUGGACAGUAAGAGCAGAAAUGUCAACUAAAGGACAUUAUUCAGUACGAAACAUCUGCACCAAGUUGUGGAAUCAUGGCUGGUUGCAAAGCAGAGCUCCAGGCUAGAGGCCAAGUAACACAGGGUAUGAGCAGCUUCAGAAAUAACCACCAUUCAGGUUGUUUACUGCAAGGAGCUCUCGAAGGAAACCAGCAAAUUAAGGAAAGCCAAGUUGAGAUGCUGGAGUGGAGCACAGAGGAGCAACAGGGACAUGAGAUUUUCAUUACUGCAAUGCCUUCUACAGGCUUUCCCUCUGCCUCUGUACUUGCAGGAAGAAAAUCUCUUGGGGACAACCUAGUUACAGACAUUUUUGUUUCCAUUUGGACCAUCCUGCUUCCUGCUGAAAAUGAGCAACCGACUUCACUGGAACCUUUCUACAGAUUGCUCAGGUUCAUGAUUUUCAAGAAGAGAGAGGAUUUACAUAUGUGA